Molecule: non-coding RNA, 451 nt
Organism: Pelodiscus sinensis (Chinese soft-shelled turtle)
Lineage: Eukaryota; Metazoa; Chordata; Testudines; Trionychidae
Source: RefSeq, a predicted model, not a curated record
AGGUACUUACAAGUGUAAGGAGUCGUCUCCAAUUAUCUCUUUGUUAAGAGACCACUACAUCUACUUUGCUUCUCUACCAAGGAACUACCUGAAGCACUGGCCCCUAAUGUGUAGAUGUCCCAGGAUCUUCAAAAAGACAGAAGCAUCUUCACAGCAGCUUGGAGCCAUAAUGCCUUGAGGAUCCUACAGCUAUGAGCUGCAGGCUGAAAGCCACCUGCAUUACAUGAAACAGAUGUGAUGGAAGACCUGGAUGAUCAAAGGCCUCUAUUGAACUCUUCCCACUAGUGGUGACAACUGGGAAGCCUGGAUCCUAGAGCAGAUUGGCCAGGAAAGUGCAGUUGUGACAGGUGAACCUCCUGUGUGGUCUUCUAUAUCACUGGACCAGUUAUUUAGCUAGCAGUUAUCAGUAGGAAUGGAAAACCUGUCUUAUGAAAGGAGAUUUAAAGAGUUU